This 253-nucleotide ribosomal RNA is filed under the name uncultured bacterium. RNAcentral's name for it is "partial 16S ribosomal RNA". It matches the Rfam family "Bacterial small subunit ribosomal RNA", at positions 524 to 776 of the family's 1533-position model. The record is from RNAcentral.
UACGUAGGGCGCAAGCGUUAUCCGGAAUUAUUGGGCGUAAAGAGCUCGUAGGCGGUUUGUCGCGUCUGCCGUGAAAGUCCGGGGCUCAACUCCGGAUCUGCGGUGGGUACGGGCAGACUAGAGUGAUGUAGGGGAGACUGGAAUUCCUGGUGUAGCGGUGAAAUGCGCAGAUAUCAGGAGGAACACCGAUGGCGAAGGCAGGUCUCUGGGCAUUAACUGACGCUGAGGAGAGAAAGCAUGGGGAGCGAACAGG